Molecule: ribosomal RNA, 1556 nt
Filed under: Salmonella enterica subsp. arizonae serovar 56:z4,z23,(z32):-
Lineage: Bacteria; Pseudomonadati; Pseudomonadota; Gammaproteobacteria; Enterobacterales; Enterobacteriaceae
Description: bacterial LSU rRNA
Rfam family: Bacterial large subunit ribosomal RNA
Source: RNAcentral
UGCUGGAGGUAUCAGAAGUGCGAAUGCUGACAUAAGUAACGAUAAUGCGGGUGAAAAACCCGCACGCCGGAAGACCAAGGGUUCCUGUCCAACGUUAAUCGGGGCAGGGUGAGUCGACCCCUAAGGCGAGGCCGAAAGGCGUAGUCGAUGGGAAACGGGUUAAUAUUCCCGUACCUGGUGUUACUGCGAAGGGGGGACGGAGAAGGCUAUGUUGGCCGGGCGACGGUUGUCCCGGUUUAAGCGUGUAGGCUGGUUUUCCAGGCAAAUCCGGAAAAUCAAGGCUGAGGCGUGAUGACGAGGCACUACGGUGCUGAAGCAACAAAUGCCCUGCUUCCAGGAAAAGCCUCUAAGCCUCAGGUAACAUCAGAUCGUACCCGAAACCGACACAGGUGGUCAGGUAGAGAAUACCAAGGCGCUUGAGAGAACCCGGGUGAAGGAACUAGGCAAAAUGGUGCCGUAACUUCGGGAGAAGGCACGCUGACACGUAGGUGAAGCGGUUUACCCGUGGAGCUGAAGUCAGUCGAAGAUACCAGCUGGCUGCAACUGUUUAUUAAAAACACAGCACUGUGCAAACACGAAAGUGGACGUAUACGGUGUGACGCCUGCCCGGUGCCGGAAGGUUAAUUGAUGGGGUCAGCGCAAGCGAAGCUCCUGAUCGAAGCCCCGGUAAACGGCGGCCGUAACUAUAACGGUCCUAAGGUAGCGAAAUUCCUUGUCGGGUAAGUUCCGACCUGCACGAAUGGCGUAAUGAUGGCCAGGCUGUCUCCACCCGGGACUCAGUGAAAUUGAACUCGCUGUGAAGAUGCAGUGUACCCGCGGCAAGACGGAAAGACCCCGUGAACCUUUACUAUAGCUUGACACUGAACACUGGUCCUUGAUGUGCAGGAUAGGUGGGAGGCUUUGAAGUGUGGACGCCAGUCUGCAUGGAGCCGUCCUUGAAAUACCACCCUUUAAUGGCUGGUGUUCUAACGUAGACCCGUGAACCGGGUUGCGGACAGUGUCUGGUGGGUAGUUUGACUGGGGCGGUCUCCUCCUAAAGCGUAACGGAGGAGCACGAAGGUUGGCUAAUCCUGGUCGGACAUCAGGAGGUUAGUGCAAUGGCAUAAGCCAGCUUGACUGCGAGCGUGACGGCGCGAGCAGGUGCGAAAGCAGGUCAUAGUGAUCCGGUGGUUCUGAAUGGAAGGGCCAUCGCUCAACGGAUAAAAGGUACUCCGGGGAUAACAGGCUGAUACCGCCCAAGAGUUCAUAUCGACGGCGGUGUUUGGCACCUCGAUGUCGGCUCAUCACAUCCUGGGGCUGAAGUAGGUCCCAAGGGUAUGGCUGUUCGCCAUUUAAAGUGGUACGCGAGCUGGGUUUAGAACGUCGUGAGACAGUUCGGUCCCUAUCUGCCGUGGGCGCUGGAGAACUGAGGGGGGCUGCUCCUAGUACGAGAGGACCGGAGUGGACGCAUCACUGGUGUUCGGGUUGUCAUGCCAAUGGCACUGCCCGGUAGCUAAAUGCGGAAGAGAUAAGUGCUGAAAGCAUCUAAGCACGAAACUUGCCCCGAGAUGAGUUCU